This 1522-nucleotide long non-coding RNA is filed under the name Pogona vitticeps (central bearded dragon). RNAcentral's name for it is "lncRNA (ENSPVIG00000002549.1)". Lineage: Eukaryota; Metazoa; Chordata; Lepidosauria; Squamata; Agamidae. The record is from RNAcentral.
AUGGGCUUAGUGGUUUGGAGUGCAACCUGCCUGAAAUCAGACACCUUUCAUAAUGCAAUUUCUUCCUUGGUCAAGGUAGCACUUUCCUUAACUGUACAGCUUUUGUGUGUGCCGAGCGGCCGGCUUUCUCUACAUCAGGGCCGAAAUGGGUUUUGCCGCAUCUGCCUCAUGCUGGUUUGGCAGUUUUUUGAUCUUUCUUUUUUCUUUUUUUUCAAUGGAGCAUCCCUGAGCGUGGGCAGAAGGCCACCUGGCCACCCCUUCUCCCUGGCCAGACUUUUCCCCAGCCGUCCUGGGGGAAAGGCUCAAAGGCUCCAGAGCAGAGGAUGCCUUGGCAUCACAGCAUUGUCUUGCACGGUUCCUGGGGGGGGGGGCGGCCAAAGAAAAUCUGAAAGUUCUGGGCCUCAUUUCCGUGGGAGAAAACGAUUCGACCAAGAGGCCCAGCGGGAACCUCUCCUGCGGAGGGCCCUGCUCAUCCUGCUCAGAAGCACAACACACACACAUGCAGCCCUUUUUUUGACAUAGGACGGAGAAAAAGAAAGACCCACCAACACACAAGGACAGGCCCUCGGUACCCAAGCUCACCUAACAGCUGUGGCUGAUCCCUUUUCUGGCUCCAAAAACAGUGGACAUGUAUGGAGGCCACCGCUGGGCUUCUGAGCAGUUUUCCCAGGUGUACACACACACACACACACACACACACACACACACACACACACACACUCCUCUCUCUCUUUGCACAAUCUUGAGACACACCGCCAGGUACACACACACACACACACUUCUCUCUCUUUGCACAAUCUUGAGGAAGACACGGUGCCAUCCACCUCCUGCCAGAGGUCCUCACCCCUGGACAGCAUCCUUCCUAGUCAUCUAGAAGCUCUGGGCGACCCCAUGCCAUUUCUGGGCGACCCCAGCUCUCCUGCCACCUUCCCUUGAGGAGCCCCCGGGGGGGAGGGGGGAGUUGUUUCACAGAGAGCCUCGGUGUGGAAGAAACGGGAGGCGACUCAAGGGCUCUGCCCCAUCUUGGUGGGUCUUUCCCCCAAACUGCUCCCAACAGCGAAGAAAAAGAUGCCGGCAGCACCUUUCCGCAGGGGAAGGGAGAGGCCCUUCACUUUGGGUCAGAAAGGGCCCAAAGAGCAAGGUGCGUUUUCUUUCUCUGGCUGAACCGCUCCUGUUCUCAAACACUCUCCUCGGAAGCAGGCUUUUAAAGGAAGCAUCUUCCAAACUGUUUUCCACAAACAUUAAACAAAGGCCUCAUAAACAUCCUUUUGGAACCACGAACACAGAUUUGUUUUACAAGAGAGACAUAAAUACUCCAACGUUGACGAGCCCUUGUUGAAAAGGAGCCACCCUAACAAUAUACUUCUAAUGCCAUAUAUAAAAUCGGCUUGCACUGAAAAAAGGAGGCCAGGCCAGCAAGCGAGGCGCCUCCCCAGGCUCGGGGCCUGGAGAAGGACAACCCACGCGCUCCAAACAGACCCCGAACUCCCACCAUUCCGGCAGGCCAUCGCCCGGGGACCCC